GAGGUGGUGGUAGGAGGAGGGUGGUGGUCUGUGCUGGGUCAGCUUGGCUGGAGCCUGUGCUGUUCAGUGUGCCCAGGGUUCCUGCUUGUAUCCAGUGUCUUCUGAUGUGAGGCUGGUACCUGUGCCACCUGCCUGCACUGUGACUUGGCUUCCCACCCUACAGAAUGGGAGCCUUCUCAGUUUCUCGGGUGCAAAACUCAAGCUUUGGACAACAGCAGGAGCAGUCAGUUAUGUUCUCACUCUGUUUGCUUUGGAAGUCCUGCAGUGUGCUGGUGUGAACACAGCCAUAGGAGUGGGGCAGUUCAGGAUAAAUCAAAAACAAAAGUGCCAUUAUCCAUAUGGGACCUCACGAGUGCAUCACAUCCCCCAGCAAUUCUGAGCGCUCUGUGUAUGGUUCUCGCUUGGUUUUAACUCAAUUUCUUUGAGAUGCAAAUCAGAGGGAUUAUAUUCAGAGACUGCAUCAGAAAGUCUUUAAUCCAAAUGGGCUAUAAGAUUUAUUUGGAAGAGCCAAAUGUCUUGUCUGGGACAGAAGCAACCGAGCUGAACUGAAACAGAUGGACGUAAAGGAAAUUAAGCAACUCUAAUGGUCUUAUCCAGAGUUUCAAAGUAUUUGGUCUUCGGAAAGCUCCAGCUCCUGGAAGCACGUGAUGAGAUGGGGAGCUCAAGUUUCAUUUAAAAACAGGCUUUGCAGUUCACUGAGAAAGACAAUAAUAAUGUUUUUAUUCCUCCUGUGUACAGAGGGAAGGCUGCCUUCCAAACCCCAGCUCCUCAGCUCCUGACGUCAGAUGGAAGUGUAUUGCACAACGUUUGAAUUCCUCAUCUUCAUCACAGUAUGGUUAUUUCAGUGGGCUGGAUUUGGGAUUUCGGAAGGUUGAUUCUUCCCCAGGUUCUUGGGGGUGCCAGGAGGUGAUCGCCCUCAUCUCUGCAAGGGGAAACCAUCUGCAGCCUGAGCAGUGAAGCCUUCCUGCUUGCAGCUGCGCCGUGCCCUGCUUGGCUCAAUGCUGAGUACCCAGAGCAGAGAAGCUUCACAUGUCUGUGCCUUGGCCAUCCUUCACCCCAGUGCUUUUGGAUUCGGAUUAAAUAAAAGGUGAGAGAAGUGGGGAGGGAGGGAGGGAGCGUGAGAAGGAGCUCAUCCAUUACCAUGCUGCGCACAAGGCGGGAGGUCUUGGCCUUCUGGUUUGAGUGCUUAUUCCCCAUAAAAUACAUCUGAGAGAAAUCAAUACAAGAAGCACGCAAGAACUUAAAUCAAAGCACAAAGAAGCUGCACUUGGCGAAUGGAGCGACCUUGCAGAGAGCUUUCAGAGCCAAGGGCCCAGCCCUGCAGAUGCAAAAGCUGUUGGUAAAAAAAAUUAAAAAAAUAGCAAGGCUGGCACGCGGGCUGCCAUGUGUUGCCUUAGCAUGGACCUCAGACACAGUGAUGUCUGUAUAGGAAAACAUAUGGACGAGAGGUGUUGGCCAUAGGCUGGGUGACCAGCAUGGGGACAAGCUGCCAGUUUUCCCCUAGAACAGCAAGGAGAGCUGAUGUGCUCUGGGACACCUAUCUCAGUUCAACAGGUUAUAGAUACCAGCACUGCACCUGGCUUGGCAAAGCACCGUGUCCUCUAGGCUGUAGCUGUGCCCAUGCAAGACCUCAGCCCACGGGAACAAGCGUGCAGAUCAGAGCAGGCUUUGCAAGCAGCAGGCUGUUUCCAGCAGCAACCCGUGCAUCCAAGCAGGGCCACCUGAGCGCAGGUGCCGACUGCUGACCCCACUGCUGGGUCACAGCACCGUGCUGCAGACACCAUAAAUCUGCAGAGGUUUGCUGCAGUCAGAGCUCCACCUCUGCAGACCGCGGGGCGCAUGUUCCCAUGCUGGGAAAUCUGACCCCAUGGUAGCCUGAGAGACAGGAGAAGCCUGAGUUUGGUGUUUUGAAUAAGUGGCUUUUUAUCUGAAAUCCCUUUGGGAGCAUGAGCUCAGUAACCAAUGAAAUUAUAUCUGUUGUUUCAAGCAGUGAAGAAAACUUGGCCUGAUGUUUAUUGAGAUUUAUGGCUUCCCUUGAGCUUAAUUGUCUUUGGGAGCCCUGGAUCUUUUUAACGGUUCAGCUAAGUGGUACUAAGAAGGAUGGUAAUGGUUUGAGCAGCCUGCCCCCUUAGCAUAUCUCUUUCUCUCACACAAUUUGCUGAUAUUUGGGAAAUACAGCCGAUGCACUUCCCUCCCGAGGUCACAGUUAUUCAUUGGUGUGAAACUUCAAGAGACAAAAUCAGGUGUGAAAAGCUCCCAGCAGUGCCUCCUUGGUGAGGCGAUAGCUUCGCCCCUUGGGGCCAUGCAGCGGGGAUGGGGAGGACACAUGGGUUCACCUGUACCCCUGCAGGGCCCUGUGGCCCCUUCUCCCUUUACUGCAGGCUCUUGGGUAUAUGUAGCUUCCAUUGCUUGCCAUUGUUUCCUCCUUGCAGGGGAUUCGUGGUGGUCGGGGCAUUGGCAUCACCCUAUGGAACAGCCCUUGUGAUGCAAGGCUUGGGAGGGAGCUCCUCCCAUUGGUCUGAACUGGGGAAGGCCCAGCUCCCACCUCGUGCUGGGUGUCCCAGUCGCUGGGUGACCAUCCUCAGACCCAGCGCUGUCACCAGGAGCAGAGCAUCGCCCUUCACACACCAUUACUCCUCACCCCCAGAGCCUUUUCAUCUCUUAUCAGCCGUGACCCUCGGGCUCUGUUAUCUCCCCCCAGCCAUCCACCGAAGCCUUAGAGCUGUCAGCAUGGGGAAUGACCUUCACCUCCUCACUCACCUCCAGGAGAUGCUGUGUCCGCUCGGCCGGGCGCAUGGUUGGCUGCAGCAGCACUGCCUGCUGCCCGGAGCCAGGUGCUUUCCCACCCUGGGGAGUUGAAGAGGAGGUGGCAGCGUUGGCUGUGGGUUGUUUCUGAACUCGCCCAUGGAUUGCUAAUGAUGUUUGUGAAAGCCCUGAAUGAAGACCACACACGGGAGGCUCAGGCAAGUGAUGUACCUUAGACCUGGAGGGUGAGAGGGAAAAAUGCUUUUGUGCCUGACUCACCGGCUCUGUGCUAACACUGACUCAUAAUUACUGAUUUUGAUUCAGGGGAAAAAAAAAAAAAAAGAUUUAUCUGCAUUCAGACCUUUGGAAGAGGCCAAUGCAACCUGCUAAUGAAGAGCGGAGGUGGUGCUGCUGUGCUGUCCACAGCCUCAUGCGGGCAGCCCUGCAGAUGAAGAUGUCUCCUGAGCAGCACGUUGGACCUGAACGCGUGUUUGCGUGGUUCCCCUGCCACCAGCACAACGGGAGCUACACGGCGGCCAGCCAUGCAGAGCCAACAAGAAAAGCCUGCUGAAGAAAGGCACCGGCGAUGACAAUACCCGUUUGCAGGACGGAUUAAAGCUCAGAGCAGCGUCUGGGCUUUGUGCAGGGGCGGCUCUGAGCACGAAGCGUGGUGGCAGGAGGCUACAAAAGCCGGGAUCCCACACAGCCCCAUUGUCAGCAGUGCUAACCCAGCCCAUGCAAGGCUCAGUCCCCAUCGCUGCCAGGACCUGCUGCCCUGCCCUCUCCCAGUGCCCUGCUCGUGCCACCUUGCCUCCCUGCUGCUCAGCCCCAUGCUGAGUGGAACCCACCCCCCUGUGCCAAGUGUUAAAUACUUAUCAAGCUAAUACAGCGUCUUCGCGGAGGUGCGUACAUGAGACAACAUGUUACCGUAAUUAACAAGCAGCUGGAGUUGGCAUCGUGCUGCAGCUGCUGGCGGCGGCUCCCAGUGCCUUUCCCAGGGCUGCAGCUCUGCCCCAUCCAACAGCAGGGGAAUGCUGAGGCGGGGGGAAUGCCUUGCAGGUCCCUUUCUACCACGCAGGAGGUGGUGAUGGCUUUCAGCCUGGGAUCUGCAUAGCCAUGGAGGUCUGGGACUAUUUCUGGGUUGGGUAAAUGGGUCCAUUCCCAGCAGGCAAAUGCUUACACAAGGGGUGAGGAGCCGUUGUGGGGGGCACUGAGUUGGGAGCUGUAUGGAAUCCUGCUGCUGGAGUCUCUGGGGGUGGUGGCUUGUCCACCUGGCCAUGGAAUCACAGUGCUGGGGCAGUGAUGGUCAAGUGCCACUGGAUCUGUGUGAUAGGUGUCAGGGACCAGUGGUGGCACCGGUGCUGGAGAGAACUUGGGAGAAAGAGAGAGUGGCUGUGAUGGGACUGUAAACCCAGCCCUGGGGAUGAAGGUGGCAGAGUGGGGUUGGUGGGGGUCAUUUAUUUGGUCAGACUUACUGAGAUGAUGUAGAUCCAUCCCUCUGCUCAGCCCUAUGCAGAUCUGCUGCACAAAACCUCCCCAUCCUUUUGAAUUGCCUUGAGCUCCCUAGCUUUCCAGCCCCAGAGAAGUCAUCUCAGCAGUUGAUGUUUGUAUGAUGACCUACAUUGCUAUUGGGUUUUAAAUAUAUAUAUUUUUACUGCACUGUAUGCUAGCUUCCCACAUGCAAAUUGCUCUGAGUGAGCCAUUUAUCUGGAAAAUAAAGGUUAU
Non-coding RNA from Phasianus colchicus (ring-necked pheasant), 4470 nucleotides. The record is from RefSeq and is a predicted model, not a curated record. NCBI's taxonomy places the organism in Eukaryota, Metazoa, Chordata, Aves, Galliformes, Phasianidae.